Molecule: ribosomal RNA, 372 nt
Filed under: uncultured organism
Description: bacterial SSU rRNA
Rfam family: Bacterial small subunit ribosomal RNA
Source: RNAcentral
CGUAGGGUGCGAGCGUUAAUCGGAAUUACUGGGCGUAAAGCGUGCGCAGGCGGUUUAGUAAGACAGGCGUGAAAUCCCCGGGCUCAACCUGGGAACUGCGCUUGUGACUGCUAAGCUAGAGUACGGCAGAGGGGGGUGGAAUUCCACGUGUAGCAGUGAAAUGCGUAGAGAUGUGGAGGAACACCAAUGGCGAAGGCAGCCCCCUGGGUCGAUACUGACGCUCAUGCACGAAAACGUGGGUAGCAAACAGGAUUAGAUACCCUGGUAGUCCACGCCCUAAACGAUGUCAACUAGGUGUUGGGAGGGUAAAACCUUUUAGUACCGGAGCUAACGCGUGAAGUUGACCGCCUGGGGAGUACGGCCGCAAGGUUA